This 542-nucleotide long non-coding RNA is filed under the name Sorghum bicolor (sorghum). Its description in RNAcentral is "long non-coding RNA (SBIC_LNC000578)". The record is from RNAcentral. Lineage: Eukaryota; Viridiplantae; Streptophyta; Magnoliopsida; Poales; Poaceae.
GCUUUAAUUAACUUUAUUUAUACUUGCAUUGGUUUUCAUACUUAUCCUAGCCUAUUGUCACAUUUUCUUUUUUUUUUGCAACUGGUGGCAAUAUUUUAUUCCUAUCCCACCAAAUUAUGCAUGAAUUUUAUAUACACAUGCUUAGUUGUCCACUACAAAAAUGAGCUCAUCAAUUAAGUUCCAUGAUGCGCUUCACGCGUGGGCUGGUAGCCUAAUACACUCGAGCACUAAAUUCCAUCGGUUAGUCUCUAGCCACUAUUGUACUAAGGUUAUUCGUAAGUCCCCGUCACCAUGCAUGAGUCACAGUUUGGCAGCCAUGCACUACGUACUAUAAAUUAAACAUAAUUUCUAGAGAUGUGGCCGUCUCUAAUACUUUUUGUCACACGUGGUUUCGAAAGUCCAGCGAACAGAGGAGGGAGGGGGCUCAGGCCUCUUAUGAGUUAUGAACCACCUUUAAAAAUUAAUUUCUAGGGUGUGAUUUGUAAUAUCAACAAGUAGAGAAUUUUUAGAAAUAGACCCACAUUAGGAACCGAACCACAUAU